CCGGCGCAGAGGAUGAGUCACACUUGAGACCCGACCGCACUGCGGUGCACCUCCCUGGGGGUUCCAAACCAAACCAAAAACUUUGAUACUGAUGCGCCGG
RNAcentral lists this small nucleolar RNA (100 nucleotides) under Chlamydomonas reinhardtii. Its description in RNAcentral is "CrCD24c snoRNA". Lineage: Eukaryota; Viridiplantae; Chlorophyta; Chlorophyceae; Chlamydomonadales; Chlamydomonadaceae. The record is from RNAcentral.